This 345-nucleotide unclassified non-coding RNA is filed under the name soil metagenome. Its description in RNAcentral is "partial contains 5.8S ribosomal RNA, internal transcribed spacer 2, and large subunit ribosomal RNA". The stretch from base 1 to 120 matches the Rfam family "5.8S ribosomal RNA", at positions 35 to 154 of the family's 154-position model. The record is from RNAcentral.
GAUGAAGAACGUAGCGAAAUGCGAUAAGUAAUGUGAAUCGCAGAAUUCCGUGAAUCAUCGAAUCUUUGAACGCACAUUGCGCCCUCUGGUAUUCCGGGGGGCAUGCCUGUCCGAGCGUCAUUUGCAACCCUCAAGCCCGGCUUGUGUGAUGGGUGCCGUCCCCUACGGGACGCGCCCCGAAGGCAAUGGCGGCGUCGCGGUUAUCCGAUCAGCCAAAGUGUAUGGGGCUUUGUCACUCACUUUACGGCCCAGACCGGCGCCAGUCCGAAUCAAUCUUUUUUCUAAAGUUGACCUCGGAUCAGGUAGGGAUACCCGCUGAACUUAAGCAUAUCAAUAAGCGGAGGA